UCUUCUGUCCUGGGUUUUUUCUGGGAAGCUGCGUUUCCUUUUACAGCCAUGAGAUGUCACCAGUGAGCGGAGCCCCUGGAGAAGUGUGGCGGCCAACCUGUAGACGCACCUGUGUCUAAUUUUCGAGAGCUGCGGAGGUGCUUCAUAAGGACAGCCUAGCUGACACUCCAGUGCCUGAGUGUUUGCCUUCACUGAUUUCCUUGUGAUCGCCCUGUGACUCCUGGAUGUGGACAAGCGCUCCCCCCUGGAUUUCCUUGUGUUCCUCACGACGCCAUUGGUAUUACCAAUCGGUUGCCUUCCUCCGUGCACUUACCUCCCUGGUCCCUCCCCGUGGAUCCUCUGUGCCUCGCCAUCGGCUGAGCCUGCCAGCGUUUCAUGUUCCGGGAGCUAACUGUCGAAGCCCCGCUCGGAAGUCAACUCACUCUGCUCUCCAGCUGCAAGGCUUACCUGCUCGCUCUCCGACGGUAACUCACUUCUCCAGCCGCCACCAUUGACAAUACUACCUCCGCAUUCAAUCUGACGACCAGUUUCCUCCAGUCCCAGGUUCCAGAACUAUUUCCCCUGACCCCUCUUCCUUUCACCAAAAUAAAUAUUAUUGUUGUUUCA
Long non-coding RNA from Xiphophorus maculatus (southern platyfish), 606 nucleotides. RefSeq lists it as uncharacterized. The transcript has 3 exons. NCBI's taxonomy places the organism in Eukaryota, Metazoa, Chordata, Actinopteri, Cyprinodontiformes, Poeciliidae. The record is from RefSeq and is a predicted model, not a curated record.